AAAGUCGUAACAAGGUUUCCGUAGGUGAACCUGCGGAAGGAUCAUUACCGUGGAGAUGCGUCUCCAUUGAGAUAGCACCCUAUGUUCAAGAGUACCCUCUGUUUCCUCGGCAGGCUCGUCUGCCGCUAGGACCCACUCGAAACCCUCCGUAGUAGCAGUAUCCUCAGUAAUCUACCCAAUAUCAAAACUUUCAACAACGGAUCUCUUGGUUCUG
This 214-nucleotide unclassified non-coding RNA is filed under the name Ascomycota sp. RNAcentral's name for it is "partial contains small subunit ribosomal RNA, internal transcribed spacer 1, and 5.8S ribosomal RNA". The stretch from base 1 to 47 matches the Rfam family "Eukaryotic small subunit ribosomal RNA", at positions 1785 to 1831 of the family's 1831-position model. The record is from RNAcentral. Lineage: Eukaryota; Fungi; Ascomycota.